CUUUCUCCUUUUCAUAAUACUAAGGUAAGCAUCAAAGCCCAGCAACUUGUUGGGAGUAAGGGCUGAAAAGAGCUCUUUGUAUAGGUCCGGUUUGCUGGUUUUCGGGAACAUUCGACUCCACUAACAAAAAGAUUCUUAGAUUCCAUCCUUCCCCCUGCCUCGACCUUCGCUCCCGGUUUCGGGUCAAUGGAACUGCCUCUGCCUCUGGUUUUUUCCCCUUUUCUUCUCUUUUUUAUCUUAUUACCUGUCAUCAAGCCUCCUACCCCAGAUUUUUGAAGUCAAUUUUGAAUAGACUCAUCUCUAGGCUUCGCAUCUUCAUGAAAAAGACCCAUGCCUCCGCUUGUGGCUUUCAUACCACCCAUACAUGCUUUCAUUCUCUCGCCUCCCCCGCCAUUGCCUUUACAUCGCAAAAAGAAAAAAGGGUUUAUGCCGAAAGAGACAAGGGUGUUGUAUGUAUGUAUAAGUCCAAAAGAGCUGUGAUGGCUCUCGAAAUGGAAUUAGAACAGCAAGACGAACUAGGGGUAGCACAUUAACAAGAUAUUCCAUUUGUGAUAGCGAUGGCAGAUAAACCAGAUAUGUUGGUUAGUUUUAUCCUUCUCAAAGCAGUAACACCUAUUAGUUAGUAUGGUUGGGUAAUUUAAAGUCUUACCUAGGUGUGCCGCUCGCCCGCAGGUGCGUAUUAAUACAAGAAGAGAGGCUUUCUUAUCUUCUUUUUUUCAUUUUUUAAGGAAAGUACUUUGAACCUAACUAGGAGUCC
This 757-nucleotide long non-coding RNA is filed under the name Theobroma cacao (cacao). Its description in RNAcentral is "long non-coding RNA (TCAC_LNC006078)". The record is from RNAcentral. Lineage: Eukaryota; Viridiplantae; Streptophyta; Magnoliopsida; Malvales; Malvaceae.